This 383-nucleotide ribosomal RNA is filed under the name uncultured eukaryote. RNAcentral's name for it is "partial 18S ribosomal RNA". It matches the Rfam family "Eukaryotic small subunit ribosomal RNA", at positions 592 to 976 of the family's 1831-position model. The record is from RNAcentral.
CAAUAGCGUAUAUUAAAGUUGUUGCAGUUAAAAAGCUCGUAGUUGGAUUUGUGGUUGGAGUGAUCGGCCUGUCACUCAGUGUCGGUGCUUGUGUCAUCUCCGUCCAUCCUUGGGUGGAAUCUGUGUGGCAUUCAGUUGUCGUGCAGGGGAUACCCAUCUUUUACUGUGAAAAAAUUAGAGUGUUCAAAGCAGGCUUACGCCGUUGAAUAUAUUAGCAUGGAAUAAUGAGAUAGGACCUGGGUACUAUUUUGUUGGUUUGCGCACCCUGGUAAUGAUUAAUAGGGACAGUUGGGGGUAUUCGUAUUCCAUUGUCAGAGGUGAAAUUCUUGGAUUUCUGGAAGACGAACUACUGCGAAAGCAUUUACCAAGGAUGUUUUCAUUAA